RNAcentral lists this unclassified non-coding RNA (546 nucleotides) under Homo sapiens (human). Its description in RNAcentral is "novel transcript (ENSG00000281416.1)". Lineage: Eukaryota; Metazoa; Chordata; Mammalia; Primates; Hominidae. The record is from RNAcentral.
GUGCGGAACACAGGAUCCGAAGAUGGCAGCGGAAGCUCCGCAGCGGCCCCAAAAGCGACUGGGCAGGGAGGGCACAGGCUCCCUCACUGGGUGAAGGCGGCGCAAAGAACGGGAAGAGCCAUCCCGGGAGCCACCGGGCGUUCAGCCUCCCUAGGGCCCCCAGGCGGUUCGGGCCGGGGUCUCAACCGGGGCGUUUCCGGGGGUUUCUGAAGCAGAAUAUAAAAAACUAACGUGAGGUAAACACUAAGGUCUGGAGAUGGCUGUGCAAGAGAUGACAAAGUCCAACACCACGCUGGAGAGUGUCCAAUCAUCUCUUCUGGGGCAGCAUAUUUUUCUACAAUACUGAAUUUGGAAAACAACAGCAACAACAACAACAUCAAAAGCAAACAAAUAAACAAACAAAAACCUACAAGAUUCAUGAAACUGGACAACUGUCUUUAUAACAUUACCAGUGAUAAAACCAGUAAGGAAGGCUGGUUUGCAGUCAUCUGAGAAGCCUCUUUCAUUUCAUAAAUAUGGUUUCUCUCUGACAUUGAACGGCUUCCA